This 455-nucleotide ribosomal RNA is filed under the name uncultured bacterium. RNAcentral's name for it is "bacterial SSU rRNA". It matches the Rfam family "Bacterial small subunit ribosomal RNA", at positions 70 to 524 of the family's 1533-position model. The record is from RNAcentral.
AGUUAGUUGCUUGCAACUAACACGAGUGGCGCACGGGUGAGUAACGCGUACGCGACCUGCCCUCAAGAGGGAAAUAGCCCUGGGAAACCGGGAUUAAUGUCCCAUGUGAUUGUAUUUCUAAGGAAUAUAAUUAAAGGAGAGAUCCGCUUGAGGAUGGGCGUGCGUGCUAUUAGCUAGUUGGUGAGGUAAUGGCUCACCAAGGCGACGAUAGCUAGGGGGCGUGAGAGCGUGACCCCCCACACGGGUACUGAGACACGGACCCGACUCCUACGGGAGGCAGCAGUAAGGAAUAUUGGACAAUGGGGGCAACCCUGAUCCAGCCAUCCCGCGUGCAGGAAGACGGCCCUAUGGGUUGUAAACUGCUUUUAUUAGGGAAGAACAGCAUCAAUGUAUUGGUGUAUGACGGUACCUAAGGAAUAAGCACCGGCUAACUCCGUGCCAGCAGCCGCGGUAAU